AGUGGGAUAGCUGGUUUAAAUGGUGGUUCCAUUCCAGGUUUUCUAAGGAAUCUCCAUAUUGCUUUCCAGAGUUGUUGCACCAAUUUGCAGUCCCACCAGCAAU
RNAcentral lists this microRNA precursor (103 nucleotides) under Marmota monax (woodchuck). Lineage: Eukaryota; Metazoa; Chordata; Mammalia; Rodentia; Sciuridae. The record is from RNAcentral.